AAGGUUUUCCUGCAACGACUUCUGCACAGCACCUUUUACAGGUGGAGGGAGUGCCACUAAGAAAACUCUGAGGUGAACGUACCAGCUCUAAAUAGCUGCUGAUGUCCUUUAUCAGCAAAGGAAGUUUGACCAGGAAACUAAAACAGUUAAAGUGUCGCAGAAGAGAAGGAGAGGAUGUUAAAAUCACCGUUCUCUGUGUUUCUCUUCUGUUUGUUGCGACAUCUGGACUGUACAGGUAAAUCCCAAAAGGUUGAUUCUGUUCAUCUGGAUCUUUUCAGUGGGAGAAACAUUUCAUCACUGAUCCAGUUUCCCAGCAUGCAUCUAGGGUGCAGGUGUAUGAGGGGGCGGAGUUUGUCCUGCUGCCCUGUCAGGUACCAGCUGAUGUUUCCAGUGACUCCACAGCUGUGGUGUGGAACCGUGAUGAGUUCACGAUCCCAAUGGUCCACAAGCGUGUGCAGAGCAGUGACGAUCUUACAAACCAAAACCUUCGUUACCUCGGUUGAACAUCAAUGAGAGCCACCGCUCUGCAGACUGGAGACCUCAGCCUCACUCUGAGGAACCCCACAGUCUCUGACAGUGGAACCUAUACCUGCACCGCCCGCAAGACUGGAGACAAUCUGAAGGAGAUCCAUGUGCAGCUGAAGGUCUCAGAACCUCCUCCCCGCUGGCCCAUAGCUGUGGCAUUCGUGGUUCCUGUGCUCCUCCUGGCUGUUAUCUUUGGUGCCCUCGUGUACCAUGCAAAUAAUAAAGUAAAGAACAGAGCAGUCUCCAUGCUGAAAGCAGAGAAGGUGACAGAGGGGGCGGAGUAUAUCAAACUGCUCUGGGAUAAGAGUGAAGUUCCGCCUGCUGCUGUCAGAGUGAAGUGGACACGUCUACAACCCAAACAUGGACAGAUCUGUGAGUGUGUGAAGGAUCAGACGGGUCAGUGGAAGCUCGAGUCUGGUCCUGUUUAUAAAGGUCGUGUACAGAUGGAUCAGCUGACUGAAGGAGACUUCACCCUGACUCUGAUGAAGCCUCGCUGUGAAGAUGGAGGUGUUUACUUGUUUGUCGUCUACGGCCAGGAUGGAAAACCCCUUAAACUGACAAUAGUGGCACUGUGGGUCAAAGAGACCUGGUGGAAAAUCAUCACAGGCUUGUCUGAGAGGAGAACCCUCGACACUGAAGAAAAGAUUAUAGGUCCAGGGUGGUGCUGCUCCAGGGGAGGAGAUGCCCUGCUGUUGCCUGGGACAUGAUCUGGCUACCCUUUUUCUUUCAGACAGGAAUCUGAGUUUGAUGAGUUGACGCAUGAGAGUGUCCAUGCGUCAAGUGGUGGGGUCCAGAAUUAACACUAAACAAUGUUUACUAUUAUUGUUGCAGUGAGUUGUGUGAUUAACCGUUUAUUUACAUGUUCAGAUGAGGCUUUGAUGGCCUAUAAGUGAAGUUCACUGAACUAAAGAAUGUGGUUUGAUGAUUGUUGACAUGCUCUCCAAAUAGAAGUUUUUCUGAAAUACAGGUGCAGCAGUGAGACGCGAGAAACAUUCCAGGCAUAGCGGACAGCCCAGGCAGUGGUUGAGGUCAAAGGUCAAGCUGGUUGGGGCCCAUCAUGAGAUCAGACCUUGGAGCCACAGCAAGGACCAUUUCAACUGCCUGCAAAAUAGCGAGAGACCCUCCUGGAUUUAUCAGAGCCACUGCAAAGAGGUCGAGGUCCCAGGAAACCCCGGCACCCCCAAGACAGCACAAUAGAGAAAUCUCACACUUGGUUGUUUCAGUGGUGAGGGGGGAGUGCUGAUUGAGCCCCCGUAGGGUAAGCUCGCACUUCAACCUCCAGCCUCUGAUCAACUCUAGGGCAACCAAGUGCGAGGCGUGACGCACCUGUGUGCAACCAUGGGAAGGUGGACCCUCUUGGUUACCUUGACUACGACGCUCACCUUUACAGGACCCCAGCUGGUGCCGGAAUCAGCUGAACCAGGAGGAAGGCAGAGAGGAUGGACACAUGACAACUCUCACCUAAGAGACAUGAUGCAAGACCACAUCCCUCCAUGGAUGAAUAAUGCCUGGUACCGUUAUAUCCACGACAGAACAAAGGCAGAAUCGGCAAAUACAGACUAUUAUGUCUGUUCCCAUCUACCCAGCACGGCAACAUACCCCACACUAUAUAUGUUCCUGGACCAACUCUCAGGGAAGAACUACUCUAUGAUAUUAGCAGAGAAAGGGGACUUUGUGUCCUCUUCAACAACACAUGCUGCAUUUACAUAAAGAAGACGCACAUUCAUCAAACAUGACUGACGCCCUGAAUGUUUUGAGACAGAUCCAGCAGGCCCAAAAUCAGGACUAUCCAUGACGAAAAGGAGUGCCUGAGAGGAUCGUCCACAAGAUGGGAGCUGAGGCCAGGAGAGAGACUUCAGGAGGAUCAGAGAUCAUCUUCAGCACAGCAGACAUCACACAGAGAGCUGUGCUACUGAGCUUCCAGGAGAUCAAGAGGAGACUUCCCACAGCAAGAUUUUAAAUACAAUGAAAGAUUCAAUGUUGACGCUGAGGAAGACAACUAAGGUGUACGACGUGCUCUGCCUUAAACCUUCAGCAGCGUUGGAAGGAGUCUAAGGAUGACAUCAUGAUUCUGUGAAAAGCACAGGAACCAGAAGCUAUGGUGGUGAUAACAGCAGUUUCCUAUGAGGUCUGCAGCUUUGGAAAUAGCUGAGACCCAUGUUGACAAACAACAAAACUAACUGGUAUGUUUGAAUGUCUAUUCUACAUACAUUUGGACUCUGGUCCUAUGGACAGUGAUGGAAACAACUGGAAGAGACAUUUAUGACACCCUGCAGAACUCAAACCACUCUGCAGAGAGACAUGUGAUUGCACACCCGGAGGAAGCAUCACCAAGAUGGGAUGUUUUUGAAAAUGUUAUCUUCUUAUUUUCACUAUUAAAUUAACAAUUUCUUUGUUUGUUUGUAGGAUGCAGUUUGCCAUGAGAUGAGCUCAAUGGGGAAUGGGAUAUCCGCUAAUACCUUUGUUAAACUCUGUACUUUUACAGUGAUUUAGGGUGAUUUGACGUAUGCUGAGUAUAACAAUGUUGGCAUUGAAACUGUCAGACAUGAGGUAUUCAUAACUGGAAACUUUUCUAGCAUAAAGGUCAAUAAAGGGGGGAAUGUUAGGUUUUGUAUUGUUGAUUGUCAUUUAUGCUUAGAAACAUUUACUCAUAUAUGCUUAGAAGUGUAUAAUCAAUUGUAGAUUGAAAGAAUGUCUCAUCCUAGGAGGUCUGUAACAACUCUGUGUAGCAUGAAGAGGGGAGUGCGUUCACUCCUCUACAGAGUGUGUUCUGGCAUAGAUCACACCCCCUAGGAGAGGUUUUAUCUUUUCUUGAUAUAUGGUAUAGCAAACACAUGUAUAUCUGUUUGAGUGUAAGAGCCUUUUGUUUAGAUGGACCUGUUAGACUCCUGGCACCAGCUUUGGGGAGUCUUCACAGGGUCACAUCUUGACCUCACACACACAGUAUUCUUUGUUCACAUGUAUACCUAUGUAAGAUGUUAUAUGUUAAUGACCCAAUGCAUAUUCAUGUCACCACAAUAAAAGGAGUGCUCUGGGGAGUCUGGCUGAGAGUCUGACGGAGGUCAAGUGGUGGGACGACACUUGGCUCCAGCCAGAUCUCCCUCAUGCAUGAGUGAACCAGAGAACUUUGGUGCCUUGAGUCUUGCUUUUUGAUGCGUAGCAGAUUGUCCUUAACGUUCCAGCGAAUAGGUUUAUGCUACAAACCUAUCAUUCCCCAUCACAUUCAUCACCUGUUCCUCUGGUGUCUCUGAUUGGAGCACGCAGGUGUGUGGAGCAGAGUGAAAUCACACACCUAAUGCUGUUUUAUUCAACCUGGAUCUUAGAAGUUUUGAUUAACAUUAAACAUCGUUUAAACUGUA
Long non-coding RNA from Astatotilapia calliptera (eastern happy), 3884 nucleotides. The record is from Ensembl. NCBI's taxonomy places the organism in Eukaryota, Metazoa, Chordata, Actinopteri, Cichliformes, Cichlidae.